This 22-nucleotide small nuclear RNA is filed under the name Arabidopsis thaliana (thale cress). RNAcentral's name for it is "snRNA_18551". Lineage: Eukaryota; Viridiplantae; Streptophyta; Magnoliopsida; Brassicales; Brassicaceae. The record is from RNAcentral.
GUUGACCAGGCCAAAAUAGACA